This 107-nucleotide small nucleolar RNA is filed under the name Dichanthelium oligosanthes. RNAcentral's name for it is "Plant small nucleolar RNA R71". It matches the Rfam family "Plant small nucleolar RNA R71". Rfam says of the family: R71 is a member of the C/D box family of snoRNAs containing the C (UGAUGA) and D (CUGA) box motifs. Lineage: Eukaryota; Viridiplantae; Streptophyta; Magnoliopsida; Poales; Poaceae. The record is from Rfam by way of RNAcentral.
AUGCCGUGAUGGGGGCACGUAGUGAUGUGCUAUUGGAGGCGUUCCCAUUCCUCUGAGAUGGACUCAUCAUCGUGCUGCUGGAAGCUUGAAAUCUUGUUCCGAAGGGC